This 380-nucleotide ribosomal RNA is filed under the name uncultured bacterium. RNAcentral's name for it is "bacterial SSU rRNA". It matches the Rfam family "Bacterial small subunit ribosomal RNA", at positions 975 to 1355 of the family's 1533-position model. The record is from RNAcentral.
CAAGUCUUGACAUCCCCCUGACCGGAACUUAACCGUUCCUUUCCUUCGGGACAGGGGAGACAGGUGGUGCAUGGUUGUCGUCAGCUCGUGUCGUGAGAUGUUGGGUUAAGUCCCGCAACGAGCGCAACCCCUAUCCUCAGUAGCCAGCAUAUAAGGUGGGCACUCUGGGGAGACUGCCAGGGAUAACCUGGAGGAAGGCGGGGAUGACGUCAAAUCAUCAUGCCCCUUAUGAUUUGGGCUACACACGUGCUACAAUGGCGUAAACAAAGGGAAGCGAACCUGCGAGGGUGGGCAAAUCCCAAAAAUAACGUCCCAGUUCGGACUGUAGUCUGCAACCCGACUACACGAAGCUGGAAUCGCUAGUAAUCGCGGAUCAGAAU